UUUGUCGGAGCUCGUUGAGCACAUCUUUGUUAAUGAUGGGGUAGGAGGUUAAACCCCUCUCGAUAAAG
This 68-nucleotide transfer RNA is filed under the name Gondwanalimnadia sp. MT-2020. RNAcentral's name for it is "tRNA-Asn". It matches the Rfam family "tRNA". Rfam says of the family: Transfer RNA (tRNA) molecules are approximately 80 nucleotides in length. Their secondary structure includes four short double-helical elements and three loops (D, anti-codon, and T loops). The record is from RNAcentral. Lineage: Eukaryota; Metazoa; Arthropoda; Branchiopoda; Diplostraca; Limnadiidae.